This 195-nucleotide ribosomal RNA is filed under the name Euphorbia bracteata. RNAcentral describes it as "5.8S ribosomal RNA". The stretch from base 3 to 158 matches the Rfam family "5.8S ribosomal RNA". Rfam says of the family: 5.8S ribosomal RNA (5.8S rRNA) is a component of the large subunit of the eukaryotic ribosome. It is transcribed by RNA polymerase I as part of the 45S precursor that also contains 18S and 28S rRNA. RNAcentral also lists the same sequence under 1 other name. Lineage: Eukaryota; Viridiplantae; Streptophyta; Magnoliopsida; Malpighiales; Euphorbiaceae. The record is from RNAcentral.
ACGACUCUCGGCAACGGAUAUCUCGGCUCUCGCAUCGAUGAAGAACGCAGCGAAAUGCGAUACUUGGUGUGAAUUGCAGGAUCCCGCGAACCAUCGAGUCUUUGAACGCAAGUUGCGCCCGAAGCCUUUCGGCCGAGGGCACGCCUGCCUGGGUGUCACUCAACUGUCGCCCCAACCCCCUUCUGACAGGAGGGA